AACGAACGCUGGCGGCAUGCCUAACACAUGCAAGUCGAACGAGACCUUCGGGUCUAGUGGCGCACGGGUGCGUAACGCGUGGGAACCUGCCCUUAGGUUCGGAGUAACUCCCCGAAAGGGGUGCUAAUACCGGAUAAUGUCUUCGGACCAAAGAUUUAUCGCCUUUGGAUGGGCCCGCGUUGGAUUAGCUAGUUGGUAGGGUAAAAGCCUACCAAGGCGACGAUCCAUAGCUGGUCUGAGAGGAUGAUCAGCCACACUGGGACUGAGACACGGCCCAGACUCCUACGGGAGGCAGCAGUGGUUAAUAUUGGACAAUGGGCGAAAGCCUGAUCCAGCAAUGCCGCGUGAGUGAUGAAGGCCUUAGGGUUGUAAAGCUCUUUUACCCGGGAUGAUAAUGACAGUACCGGGAGAAUAAGCUCCGGCUAACUCCGUG
RNAcentral lists this ribosomal RNA (433 nucleotides) under uncultured bacterium. RNAcentral describes it as "partial 16S ribosomal RNA". It matches the Rfam family "Bacterial small subunit ribosomal RNA", at positions 29 to 507 of the family's 1533-position model. The record is from RNAcentral.